RNAcentral lists this ribosomal RNA (444 nucleotides) under uncultured bacterium. Its description in RNAcentral is "SSU rRNA". It matches the Rfam family "Bacterial small subunit ribosomal RNA", at positions 26 to 518 of the family's 1533-position model. The record is from RNAcentral.
AGAACGAACGCUGGCGGCACGCCUAACACAUGCAAGUCGAGCGCCCAGCAAUGGGAGCGGCGGACGGGUGAGUAACACGUGGGAAUAUGCCUUUCGGUACGGAACAACUCAGGGAAACUUGAGCUAAUGCCGUAUACGCCCUUACGGGGAAAGAUUUAUCGCCGAAAGAUUAGCCCGCGUCUGAUUAGCUAGUUGGUGAGGUAAUGGCUCACCAAGGCUUCGAUCAGUAGCUGGUUUGAGAGAACGACCAGCCACACUGGGACUGAGACACGGCCCAGACUCCUACGGGAGGCAGCAGUGGGGAAUCUUGGACAAUGGGGGAAACCCUGAUCCAGCGAUGCCGCGUGAGUGAUGAAGGCCUUCGGGUUGUAAAACUCUUUCGGACGGGACGAUAAUGACGGUACCCGUAGAAGAAGCUCCGGCUAACUUCGUGCCAGCAGCCGC